RNAcentral lists this long non-coding RNA (1650 nucleotides) under Homo sapiens (human). RNAcentral describes it as "non-protein coding lnc-CDS2-8:1". Lineage: Eukaryota; Metazoa; Chordata; Mammalia; Primates; Hominidae. The record is from RNAcentral.
AAAAAAAAAAGAGGAAAAUUGGACACCACACAUAAAGGGAAGACCAUGUGAAGUUAUAGAAGAAGACUGCCAUCUCAACAAGCCAAGGAAAGAGGCCUGAGGAGAAACCAACCCUGCUGACACCUUGGUCUUGGACUUCAAGCCUCCAGAAUGGUGACAAAAUUAGUUUCUGUUGUUUAAGCCAUCCAGUCUGGGAUACUUUGUUAUGACAGCCCUAGCAAUCUAAUACAUUCACCAAUGGCUCCCAAUUUCACCCAGAUAAAAAGCCAAAGUUCUUACUCAAACUUACCAACCCUAAACUUAGCAAACUUGGUGUCCACUCCUUGGAAACUUGUUCAGCCAACUGGAAGGCUGGAGAAUUCCCCCUGUUAGGUGGAAACUGGAUCAAUAGAGUUAGUGUUGCAACAAGAAACAUCCAACAUUGGAAAGAAAACUAACCUUAAUGAUUUAAUAACUAAAGAUCUCAUCUCAGAAAGUUUAGCCAACUCUGUCUCCUUCCCUUUGUGAUGCUCUGCCCCUCCAUGGAGAUCAUGGGAACAAUUCUUAAGCUCUUUGUAGACUGGGCAAGGACACAUAAAUCCCCUAAGUCAGAACUGGGUAUCAAUGGUGGGUUAAGGGCUGAAAUAUAGAAACAUGUGCAAUUAUUUGAUGGUUUAUGGCUCAUUUCAACCAAAAGACCAUUCCUAGCCCAUUUGCACUGUUUUCAUUGAGAUGUCAAAAGUGCUGAAAGGAGGCUGGGAAAACUGGUUGGCUCCUGUCUGGGGCAGGCAGCUGAUAGAGGAAAUUAGCUGGUUCCUAUAAUUGGCACUGUAGCUCCCAAUGAAGAGAGGGCAGACAGAUUUAAAUGAGCUGUUUUUGGGAGGAGGUGGGGAAGGAAAGGAGAGAUGAUUUGGGUGGAGAGCAUACAUGAAGAUGUAGGGGAGGCUGGACGCAGUGGCUCACAACUGUAAUGCCAGCACUUUGGGAGGCCAAGGCAGGCAGAUCACCUGAGGUCAGGAGUUUGAGACCAGCCUGGCCAACAUGGUGAAACCUCGUGUCUACUAAAAAUACAAAAAAAUCGGACCAGCCUGGCCAACAUGGUGAAACCCUGUCUCUGCUAAAAAUUAGCUGGGUAUGGUGGUUCACACCUAUAAUUUCAGCUACUCGGGAAGCUGAGGCAGGAUAAUCAGUUGGAUCUGGGAGGUGGAAGUUGUGGUGAGCCGAGAUCACAUCACUGCACUCCAGCCUGGAUGAUAGAGUGAGACUCCAUCUCAAAAAAAAAAAAAAAAAAAAAAGAUGUAGUGGAUGUUGUUGGUGCCAUCCAGAUCCUGUUCAUCUGCUGUCUCAGUCAGCUCAAGCUACCAAAAAGUACCACUAGCUUUGGCUUAAACAACAGAAAUGUGUUUUCUCAUAGCUCUGGUGGCUAGAAGUCCAAGAUCAAGGCACGUGCAGGAUGGGUUUCUUCUGAGUCUCUCUCUUUGGCUUGCAGAUGGCCAUAGUCUCUCUGUGUCCUCAAAUGGUCUUUCUUCUGUGCAUAUGUAUUCCUGGUGUCUCUCUGUGUGUCCUAAUUCCUCUUCUUAUAAGGAUAUCAGUCAGACUGGAUUAGGGGCCAACCUAACAGCCUCAUUUUAAGUUAAUUACCUCUUUAAAGGCGCUGUCGGCCGGGCGCGG